AAGUCAUGAUGAUCUCUGUCCGAUGCCAUAUAACUACAAAUAAAACUGUGUAGAGUCCAUCGUUAAAUAAAACAUUUCUUGCUUUUUUUCAUCUCUUUCAUUGGGAUUUCAUGUUUAUGGUUAACUUAUUUUAGACGAAUUGGAGAAAAUGCAUAAAGAUUGUAGGAAAUAUCAACAAAAAAUUUCCUCUUUGGAAGAGGAGUUAAAGAAGACUAGAGAACACCUAGCGUCAAUAGAAGACAGCCUAAGAAAGUCCCAGUCAGGAACUAAUCUACAUAUGACGUCAUUGACAGACGAGUUAGAGAUGGUGAAUGCAGAGUCUAAG
Molecule: long non-coding RNA, 325 nt
Organism: Gigantopelta aegis
Lineage: Eukaryota; Metazoa; Mollusca; Gastropoda; Neomphalida; Peltospiridae
Exons: 4
Source: RefSeq, a predicted model, not a curated record